RNAcentral lists this ribosomal RNA (467 nucleotides) under uncultured bacterium. Its description in RNAcentral is "partial 16S ribosomal RNA". It matches the Rfam family "Bacterial small subunit ribosomal RNA", at positions 29 to 507 of the family's 1533-position model. The record is from RNAcentral.
ACGAACGCUGGCGGCGUGCUUAACACAUGCAAGUCGAACGGAAAGGCCCUGCUUUUGUGGGGUGCUCGAGUGGCGAACGGGUGAGUAACACGUGAGUAACCUGCCCUUGACUUUGGGAUAACUUCAGGAAACUGGGGCUAAUACCGGAUAGGAGCUCCUGCUGCAUGGUGGGGGUUGGAAAGUUUCGGCGGUUGGGGAUGGACUCGCGGCUUAUCAGCUUGUUGGUGGGGUAGUGGCUUACCAAGGCUUUGACGGGUAGCCCGCCUGAGAGGGUGACCGGCCACAUUGGGACUGAGAUACGGCCCAGACUCCUACGGGAGGCAGCAGUGGGGAAUAUUGCACAAUGGGCGGAAGCCUGAUGCAGCAACGCCGCGUGCGGGAUGACGGCCUUCGGGUUGUAAACCGCUUUCGCCUGUGACGAAGCGUGAGUGACGGUAAUGGGUAAAGAAGCACCGGCUAACUACGUG